AUCAACCGAGAUUCCCCCAGUAGCGGCGAGCGAACGGGGAGGAGCCCAGAGCCUGAAUCAGUGUGUGUGUUAGUGGAAGCGUCUGGAAAGGCGUGCGAUACAGGGUGACAGCCCCGUACACAAAAAUGCACAUAUUGUGAGCUCGAUGAGUAGGGCGGGACACGUGGUAUCCUGUCUGAAUAUGGGGGGACCAUCCUCCAAGGCUAAAUACUCCUGACUGACCGAUAGUGAACCAGUACCGUGAGGGAAAGGCGAAAAGAACCCCGGCGAGGGGAGUGAAAAAGAACCUGAAACCGUGUACGUACAAGCAGUGGGAGCCUCUUAAUGGGGUGACUGCGUACCUUUUGUAUAAUGGGUCAGCGACUUAUAUUCUGUAGCAAGGUUAACCGAAUAGGGGAGCCGAAGGGAAACCGAGUCUUAACUGGGCGUUAAGUUGCAGGGUAUAGACCCGAAACCCGGUGAUCUAGCCAUGGGCAGGUUGAAGGUUGGGUAACACUAACUGGAGGACCGAACCGACUAAUGUUGAAAAAUUAGCGGAUGACUUGUGGCUGGGGGUGAAAGGCCAAUCAAACCGGGAGAUAGCUGGUUCUCCCCGAAAGCUAUUUAGGUAGCGCCUCGUGAAUUCAUCUCCGGGGGUAGAGCACUGUUUCGGCAAGGGGGUCAUCCCGACUUACCAACCCGAUGCAAACUGCGAAUACCGGAGAAUGUUAUCACGGGAGACACACGGCGGGUGCUAACGUCCGUCGUGAAGAGGGAAACAACCCAGACCGCCAGCUAAGGUCCCAAAGUCAUGGUUAAGUGGGAAACGAUGUGGGAAGGCCCAGACAGCCAGGAUGUUGGCUUAGAAGCAGCCAUCAUUUAAAGAAAGCGUAAUAGCUCACUGGUCGAGUCGGCCUGCGCGGAAGAUGUAACGGGGCUAAACCAUGCACCGAAGCUGCGGCAGCGACACUAUGUGUUGUUGGGUAGGGGAGCGUUCUGUAAGCCUGUGAAGGUGGCCUGUGAGGGUUGCUGGAGGUAUCAGAAGUGCGAAUGCUGACAUAAGUAACGAUAAAGCGGGUGAAAAGCCCGCUCGCCGGAAGACCAAGGGUUCCUGUCCAACGUUAAUCGGGGCAGGGUGAGUCGACCCCUAAGGCGAGGCCGAAAGGCGUAGUCGAUGGGAAACAGGUUAAUAUUCCUGUACUUGGUGUUACUGCGAAGGGGGGACGGAGAAGGCUAUGUUGGCCGGGCGACGGUUGUCCCGGUUUAAGCGUGUAGGCUGGUUUUCCAGGCAAAUCCGGAAAACCAAGGCUGAGGCGUGAUGACGAGGCACUACGGUGCUGAAGCGACAAAUGCCCUGCUUCCAGGAAAAGCCUCUAAGCAUCAGGUAACAUCAAAUCGUACCCCAAACCGACACAGGUGGUCAGGUAGAGAAUACCAAGGCGCUUGAGAGAACUCGGGUGAAGGAACUAGGCAAAAUGGUGCCGUAACUUCGGGAGAAGGCACGCUGAUAUGUAGGUGAAGCGACUUGCUCGUGGAGCUGAAAUCAGUCGAAGAUACCAGCUGGCUGCAACUGUUUAUUAAAAACACAGCACUGUGCAAACACGAAAGUGGACGUAUACGGUGUGACGCCUGCCCGGUGCCGGAAGGUUAAUUGAUGGGGUUAGCGGUAACGCGAAGCUCUUGAUCGAAGCCCCGGUAAACGGCGGCCGUAACUAUAACGGUCCUAAGGUAGCGAAAUUCCUUGUCGGGUAAGUUCCGACCUGCACGAAUGGCGUAAUGAUGGCCAGGCUGUCUCCACCCGAGACUCAGUGAAAUUGAACUCGCUGUGAAGAUGCAGUGUACCCGCGGCAAGACGGAAAGACCCCGUGAACCUUUACUAUAGCUUGACACUGAACAUUGAGCCUUGAUGUGUAGGAUAGGUGGGAGGCUUUGAAGUGUGGACGCCAGUCUGCAUGGAGCCGACCUUGAAAUACCACCCUUUAAUGUUUGAUGUUCUAACGUUGGCCCGUAAUCCGGGUUGCGGACAGUGUCUGGUGGGUAGUUUGACUGGGGCGGUCUCCUCCUAAAGAGUAACGGAGGAGCACGAAGGUUGGCUAAUCCUGGUCGGACAUCAGGAGGUUAGUGCAAUGGCAUAAGCCAGCUUGACUGCGAGCGUGACGGCGCGAGCAGGUGCGAAAGCAGGUCAUAGUGAUCCGGUGGUUCUGAAUGGAAGGGCCAUCGCUCAACGGAUAAAAGGUACUCCGGGGAUAACAGGCUGAUACCGCCCAAGAGUUCAUAUCGACGGCGGUGUUUGGCACCUCGAUGUCGGCUCAUCACAUCCUGGGGCUGAAGUAGGUCCCAAGGGUAUGGCUGUUCGCCAUUUAAAGUGGUACGCGAGCUGGGUUUAGAACGUCGUGAGACAGUUCGGUCCCUAUCUGCCGUGGGCGCUGGAGAACUGAGGGGGGCUGCUCCUAGUACGAGAGGACCGGAGUGGACGCAUCACUGGUGUUCGGGUUGUCAUGCCAAUGGCACUGCCCGGUAGCUAAAUGCGGAAGAGAUAAGUGCUGAAAGCAUCUAAGCACGAAACUUGCCCCGAGAUGAGUUCUCCCUGACUCCUUGAGGGUCCUGAAGGAACGUUGAAGACGACGACGUUGAUAGGCCGGGUGUGUAAGCGCAGCGAUGCGUUGAGCUAACCGGUACUAAUGAACCGUGAGGCUUAACCUUACAACGCCGAAG
Molecule: ribosomal RNA, 2694 nt
Filed under: Escherichia coli
Lineage: Bacteria; Pseudomonadati; Pseudomonadota; Gammaproteobacteria; Enterobacterales; Enterobacteriaceae
Description: partial 23S ribosomal RNA
Rfam family: Bacterial large subunit ribosomal RNA
Source: RNAcentral